AUUGAACGCUGGCGGCAGGCCUAACACAUGCAAGUCGAGCGGAUGAAGGGAGCUUGCUCCUGGAUUCAGCGGCGGACGGGUGAGUAAUGCCUAGGAAUCUGCCUGGUAGUGGGGGAUAACGUCCGGAAACGGGCGCUAAUACCGCAUACGUCCUGAGGGAGAAAGUGGGGGAUCUUCGGACCUCACGCUAUCAGAUGAGCCUAGGUCGGAUUAGCUAGUUGGUGGGGUAAAGGCCUACCAAGGCGACGAUCCGUAACUGGUCUGAGAGGAUGAUCAGUCACACUGGAAGUGAGACACGGUCCAGACUCCUACGGGAGGCAGCAGUGGGGAAUAUUGGACAAAGGGCGAAAGCCUGAUCCAGCCAUGCCGCGUGUGUGAAGAAGGUCUUCGGAUUGUAAAGCACUUUAAGUUGGGAGGAAGGGCAGUAAGUUAAUACCUUGCUGUUUUGACGUUACCAACAGAAUAAGCACCGGCUAACUUCGUG
Molecule: ribosomal RNA, 484 nt
Filed under: uncultured bacterium
Lineage: Bacteria
Description: partial 16S ribosomal RNA
Rfam family: Bacterial small subunit ribosomal RNA
Source: RNAcentral